Hermetia illucens (black soldier fly) is the source of this 1041-nucleotide long non-coding RNA. RefSeq lists it as uncharacterized. The record is from RefSeq and is a predicted model, not a curated record. The transcript is spliced from 3 exons. NCBI's taxonomy places the organism in Eukaryota, Metazoa, Arthropoda, Insecta, Diptera, Stratiomyidae.
UUAGGCAAGAGGGCCCUUUACACAUUCAAUUCCAUGUUGCAUUGAGAUUCUAUCUUUUAGGGAGUAGCAAUUUGACGCCAAGGAGGCAAUUGUGACCUACAAUUUUUUUUUGAAUAAUAGGAUACUGCUUCAUAUUAGACCUAUAUUUCAUGGACCUAGGAUGGACUUUAGGAGAUAUCGUGCCGAAGAGUAUUUUGGAACCUAGAUAUCGUGGGCAUGGAGCACCAUGAUUUUUUAGAUUUUUAAGUUGAGUAGUUACUGAAAACGCAGUAAUUAUCCCAUUUCGGACUAAUCGUAGUUCUUAUCAAAUUUCGUCUCAAUAUGUGUAAGAGUGUGCGUGUGUGUGUGACAGGCAAAUAGUCAGGCAGUAAGCCGAUUUCAAUAAGGUUUUGUUCAAUCUAAACCUAUCAUAACUAAACCUUAAAAAUAAAACCUGGGAGAAUCAAAAGGCCGUGAACUCGAGAAAAGCUGUGAAAAAUCGUAAAAGGCGAGCAAGUUUUACUAACAAAUCAUCAGGAUGAAGCCUUAUACAUCUCUCACUCAUCCUGUCCAGACACAGAAUCAAAUCUGUUUCCGACCAUAUUUCCAUAUUAGAACGACCGGUUGAUUACUUUGAUGAACUGCUCAACAGCAAAAAAUUGGACAAGUUUAAGGAAUUUUGAAAUUUACACGAGACGGGAAUGCAUGGGGGCAUCUUCUGAUAAGAUUUUGAUUUAGGACUGACGUUUGCAAAGAUUAGCUUUGGAAAAAGUAUGGUGCCCUUAUCAAAUCGAGGAGGCGCAUAAAUAUUUAAGAAGAUGAACGCCUGAAAUAUGAGGAAUUAUUGUAAUUUAAUGUUCAGCAGAUAUUCAAAAUCACAAUCUUUAUGAAAAUGGGCUGUAGUCAGAGUGAAUUUAUAUAAAGUUCAUGGAUAUACAUUGCUGUCUGCGUUUCAUACAAAAGAAUUCAGCUAAGUGGUCAAGGGCGAAUUUACGUCAUAACUUCUAAAAAAGAAAAUCGAUGAAUAGCUUUAAUGGCGGUAUUUUGAUUAUCAAGGCAAAG